This 274-nucleotide ribosomal RNA is filed under the name uncultured bacterium. RNAcentral's name for it is "partial 16S ribosomal RNA". It matches the Rfam family "Bacterial small subunit ribosomal RNA", at positions 523 to 796 of the family's 1533-position model. The record is from RNAcentral.
AUACGAGGGGUGCAAGCGUUAUUCGGAAUUACUGGGCGUACAGGGUGUGUAGACGGCAUAUUAAGUCCGCUGUUAAAUCCUCCGGCUUAACCGGAGAUCUGCGGUGGAAACUAGUAUACUUGAGGAUGGAAGAGAGAAGUGGAAUUCCCGGAGUAGCGGUAAAAUGCGUGGAUCUCGGGAGGAACACCAAUGGCGAAGGCAGCUUCUUGGUCCAUUCCUGACGUUGAGACACGAAAGCGUGGGUAGCAAACAGGAUUAGAUACCCCAGUAGUCC